AGGGCCACACCCAUGGCAUAUGGAGGUUCCCAGGCUAAGGGUCGAACUGGAGCUGUAGCUGCCAGCCUACGCCAGAGCCACAGCAACAUGGGAUCCAAGCCACGUCUGCGACCCACACCACAGCUCACGGCAACACCAGAUCCUUAACCCACUGAGCGAGGCCAGGGAUCGAACCCGCAACCUCAUGGUUCCUUGUCAGAUCUGUGAACCACUGAGCCACGACGGGAACUCCCGACUUGUUGAAAAUAAGAACUACCUCUUAUUUCUGUUUACUCCUGAUACGCAGCAGGCACUUGUGGGUAGGUGGGUGGAUGGCUGGAUGGCUGGAGUGGACUGGAUGAAUUUUGUCAGGGGGUACCAGGAAAGACACUGAGCCACAUGAGUAAGUGGUCUUUUCCCAGUUUCUAGGACUCUUCUGACUGGUCCGUGUGUUUAUCAUGGGGACAGUCCUUCCUCUCUGGUUAAUUCCACUGAUGGUCCCUCUGCUUUUGAUUAUGAAGCAUCGGGCUGCUCCCCUCCCACCAGAUCUUCUCUCCCUCCCCUUUGGUUUCAGGAGAAGAGAUAUUAAAAUGAUUCAUUUGGGCCCACAUGUUUACUGUGUCAGUAUAACUAAUUAAUGUUUUAACAGCAGAAUAACAAGUCCCAGAUUUCCCUCAGCAAAGCAAAACUGAAAGGAAACAGCAUACUGGGUGCACCAUAGCAUCCAAACCUACCAACUGGAAAGACACAACCACCAGGGGCUGAAUCUGACCCAGAAUUUGUGCUCUGAGAAAUUUAACCCAGUACUGCCAGGAUGGAGAGCCGCCUGGCACUCCUUCGCCCCCUGGGGACAUCCCAGCCUGUCCGUCCUCGGGAAUGACGAAGGGAUGGGAGUGGGGUCUCAUUUGUUGGUGUUGCCUCUGUGUCCAGCACCGUUUGACAUGCGGCAAAUAGCUGAUAAAUGUCUCGUGAAUAAACAGACUCCAGAGAGGGGAUAGGGGAUAAGGAGAUGCAUAGAAGCCUACUUAUACCAAGUGGGCUACACAGCUCAUAACUUCUGGAACCAGCUUUGGACCUUGGUCAGAAACAACCCCGCUCACUUUCUCUGUGCUAUGCUGCCUUCCAACAUUCGAGAAAAAUGUUUCAUGCCCUCUCUAUGAAACUCUGUGUUGCAAUAAAUAAUCUGAAUCACAGUUUCAAAUUUAAAAUGCCUCAAAUAAUCAACCACAUUUCAGCUACUGUGAAGAGGUUCUCAUAGCAACACUCUAAUGACCCCUGCAUGUUAAAUCGAUAUGGACGCAAGAGCUGUCAUUUACCCGUAGCAAAUUGGCACUAAAAGCAUAGGUUUCCUGGGCUGGAAAGGCGGAGAGCAAAAUGAACGCCAGAGUCUCCAAUUUGCUUGUUUUUCCAUAUGCACUCUCUCUGGCUGGAGAUAAAAGUUAAUCACUUUGAUGGCAUCAAGUACCAAUAACAACGUAUGUGCAAACAUAGCAGAGGGAGCUAUCUACCUUAUCCACUCAUUUAUUUGGCAUUAGGCACCAUGGAGACAAAGACAGUGGGUUCUUCCCUAUCCUCACGAAGCACAUUGCCCAUCGGGGAUACCUACGAGCAAUCUAUCACAGCACAACACGGCACGAGCACAAGGAGACCCGAGCCCAUGAUGUCACGGGAAGUCCUCGAGCAGGUUUCUCAAGAAGGUGAGAGGUUGUGACGAUAAGAAAAAAGAAUGGACUGUUUAAAAAGCAAGUGGAACCAAGAAUUAUAUCGGUUGAGACUAUAUUGAUAACACUAGCAGUUACCUAUUUAUUGAGUUGAGCUACCAUGAACCAGGUACCCAUGACAACUCACAGAGUUAGACUCUAUUCUUAUCCUCAUCAGAGAGCGGAGGAAACGGAAGCUUAGAUUCUUUAAAUAAUCUAUCCAUCUCGUAAGCUCCUAACCACGAGGAUGGGAAGACUGUGUCUAACAAUCACUGCCCCAAAUAUGACUCGAAAAUGAGGGGCACGCCUAUUGCUUAUCUGUUGUUAGGUAACACAUUACUCUCAGAACUGAGUGGUCUAAAACAACAAAUACUUAUUAUCUUGCAUGGGUCAAGAAUGCAGGAGCCGCUUAGCUGGGUUGUGCUGGCUCAAGAGCUCUCAAGCGUUUGCAGUCAAGAGGGCACGUGGGGGUGUGUUCAUCUGAAGGCCUGACUGGAGCUGGAAGAUCUCCUUCCAGGAGGAGUCCCUCACCUGGCUGCUGGCAGGAAGCCUCCAUUUUCUUGCUAGAUGAGCCUCCCCAGAGGAUGCAACACCCUCAUGACACGGCAGGUGGCUUCGCCCAGAACCAGCCGUCCAAAGGAGAGCAACAGAGAAGCCAUGAUGCCUUUUAUGACUUAGGCUCCAAAGUCUAACACCAUCACUUUCUCAACUUUCUAUUAAUUAGAAGUGAGUUGUUGGGAGUUCCUGUCAUGGCUCGGCGGUUAAUGAACCUGACUAGCAGCCAUGAGGAUGCAGGUUCGAUCCCUGGCCUCACUCAGUGGGUUAAGGAUCUGGUGUUGCCAUGAGCUGCGGUGUAGGUGGCAGACUCAACUCGGAUCCUGCAUUGCUGUGGCUGUGGUGUAGGCUGGUGGCUACAGCUCCGACUGGACCCCUAGCCUGGGAAGCUCCAUAUGCCAUGGGAGCAGCCCUAAAAAAGACAGAAAGACAACAAAAGAAGAAGUGAGUUGCUAAGCACAGCGCAUAACCAGAGGGAAGAAAAUCCCCCCCACCUUUUAAGUGGAGGAGAAUUUGUGGAUAUAUUCUCAAAAUCACCACUCUACCUCAGACUGGAAAUUAGAAGCAAUUGUGAGGACCCCUUCUAGAGAAAACGGUUUGCAUCUCGGAAAGAAGGAGAUGGAAAAUAAACCAGACCUGAGGUGCUGGGGGAAUAAGAUGGCACUGGGGGGCCGCCAAAGGGCUAGGAGGUUGCGCCCGUCUAUGAAGUGCUGAAGCGUAAUUAUUUUAGCGGAAGGGGUUGGGGGCGCAAUAAAAUUCAGUUUCAGAGACAGAAGUGUGUGGUUAAAAAAAUAAUUCUUUGGUGUUAUCCAUUUCUUUUGGUUCUCCCUGCUGUUGAGCAAAUGGUCUUAUGAAAAUGUUCAUUUACGUCUUAGAUGUGCCUCUGUAAAGGGGUCUGGGCUGGAAACAGGGGAACCAGGGUCUCGGGUGCGGAGCGGGGGACAGCAAGGAUCCGAGGGAGGGAGACCAGGAGGGCAGAGGAGGAAGAGCAGGACCCCUGGGUGAGCUGCUCGCACCAGAGAUUCUCGGCAGGGCUCUCCCGGGCACGUCCCCGACUUCGGAACCUUCUGUGCUCUGUUCAAAAGGGAGAGAGGCGCCCCCUCUUCAGCGUGUGAAGACUCUCGGUGGAAGUAAACCUCCUGGCACGGAAAGCUGAAUGUUAACACAUCAAUUUACAUGACCUCAUCGAUGCAACAUACAGACCAGGAGAAGGUCUUGCAGGCAGCGCUGGCACUGAGUUAGAGAAAGUGGCGGCUGCAAAGCCGAGAGGAAGCCUGGCACUGAGGCUACGUGAACUUCCGACGUCCAGCGGGAGUGGGAUUCAAACCCUAGUGCCGCCCCUUGCCAGCCGUGACGUCACGGGAGAGCACAUCCUUCCCACACCUGCUUUCCUUAUGGUAAAGAUGGGGGGGGGGGUGUACCAACAAUCUCACAGAGCAGCGAGGGUUUAAUGAGAGCUCUAAGCGCUCCGUGAAUGUCACAGGAUUAACCAUUAUUAAUGCACGACAGCGGCUAAGAUAUGAAGUUGACCUUUAGGAGUAAAAAGGGGACCAUUUGUUCACGUUCUGCAUCUCAGCAUACGGUUUAUGAGAAAAUCUCUCAGCGCUGGGCAGAGAACAGAUGGUGAGCCAGCCCCCUCCCCCAGCCUCCCUGACCUUCCGCGGCUUUGCUCUCUGGGGUCAGGGGACAGCCCCCGCCACCCCGGCUGGCAGGGACAAACACAAAGAGCCACUGUCCCUUGAAUGCUGGCAGCACUUCUAGACAUGGUAGGUUCUGGGAGGGAGCUACAGCCGUGCAUCCCCGUGGCCCUCUGGUUCUUUCAUUCCCAUGUCUCUGAGAUCCUGAGUUCUGGGUACAGCAAGAGCCUCUAUUCAACAGCAGCCUUCCGCAUCCCAGGAGUGAGGUGCAGGGGUGGCCCGAGGGCCUCCUGGCAUUGCAGGGAAAGGGACCCUGGGGCAGUCCCAGGACCAAAAGUCGGUGGCCGUCUCUGCAGGGCAGGGUGGGAAACCAUCGCUCCGGGGUUUUAU
This 4261-nucleotide long non-coding RNA is filed under the name Sus scrofa (pig). RNAcentral's name for it is "lncRNA (ENSSSCG00005032384.1)". Lineage: Eukaryota; Metazoa; Chordata; Mammalia; Artiodactyla; Suidae. The record is from RNAcentral.